GUUUAAGCCUCCGCCUCCGACAGUCGCCUCAAUUCGAGGACGUUAGCGCCGAUGGCUUCAUGUAACAAGGACGAUUGGAAUCGGCGACGGUGGAUUCCGACAAAUUCCGGUUAACUCCGGUGAGAACUGGGUGACCUGAGCCAGAGAAUCGCCAAUUCUUGAUGAACAUUAGGAUUCAAGCACUAUGACCCCUUCUCCUUCUCCAAGAUCCCAUUAUAAAACCCCUCUAUCGGCACAAAGCGAUGGAGUUUUUUUGUUACAAGAAAAAGUCUGGUGGAGAGGUCAAAAACAUAUCUCCGGGAGAUAUACAAAUGGUUCAAAAUCUCAUAGAACAGUGACUGCCAUAUUAUACGACUCCGAAGCAGGUCAUAGAUAUUAUCUAUCAGCAAGAGAAAAUAGAAUCGAGCUUUACCACGCUUGGUAUGUGAUUGAAGACUAUUUAUUU
Helianthus annuus (common sunflower) is the source of this 445-nucleotide long non-coding RNA. RefSeq lists it as uncharacterized. The transcript has 4 exons. The record is from RefSeq and is a predicted model, not a curated record. Lineage: Eukaryota; Viridiplantae; Streptophyta; Magnoliopsida; Asterales; Asteraceae.